UACGGAGGGUGCAAGCGUUAUCCGGAUUCACUGGGUUUAAAGGGUGCGUAGGUGGAGUGGUAAGUCAGUGGUGAAAUCUCCAAGCUUAACUUGGAAACUGCCGUUGAUACUAUCAUUCUUGAAUAUCGUGGAGGUAAGCGGAAUAUGUCAUGUAGCGGUGAAAUGCUUAGAUAUGACAUAGAACACCGAUUGCGAAGGCAGCUUGCUACACGAUCAUUGACACUGAGGCACGCAAGCGUGGGGAUCAAACAGG
Molecule: ribosomal RNA, 253 nt
Filed under: uncultured bacterium
Lineage: Bacteria
Description: partial 16S ribosomal RNA
Rfam family: Bacterial small subunit ribosomal RNA
Source: RNAcentral